This 460-nucleotide ribosomal RNA is filed under the name uncultured bacterium. RNAcentral's name for it is "partial 16S ribosomal RNA". It matches the Rfam family "Bacterial small subunit ribosomal RNA", at positions 338 to 795 of the family's 1533-position model. The record is from RNAcentral.
CCUACGGGUGGCAGCAGUGAGGAAUAUUGGUCAAUGGGCGGAAGCCUGAACCAGCCAAGUAGCGUGCAGGAUGACGGCUCUACGGGUUGUAAACUGCUUUUAUACGGGAAUAACGCGCCUUACGUGUAGGGCUUUGCAUGUAACGUAUGAAUAAGGAUCGGCUAAAUCCGUGCCAGCAGCCGCGGUAAUACGGAAGGUCCGGGCGUUAUCCGGAUUUAUUGGGUUUAAAGGGUGCGUAGGCGGCAUGUCAAGCGUGCGGUGAAAUGUUGGGGCUCAACCCCAGCCUUGCCGCGCGAACUGGCGUGCUUGAGUCCGCUGAAAGCAGGCGGAAUUCGUCGUGUAGCGGUGAAAUGCUUAGAUAUGACGAAGAACCCCGAUUGCGAAGGCAGCUUGCUACGGCGGAACUGACGCUGAUGCUCGAAAGCGCGGGGAUCGAACAGGAUUAGAUACCCGAGUAGUC